GCAACUUUCAUGGACACACCUGUCAAAGAAGCUUGAAAACAUGACUCAGAACCAAGAUGAGGCAGUGCUACUCACUGUUUCUGAUGGUUGGAAGGAACCAGCUUUUUUCAAAGAGGACAAUUCCAGAGGACUCUUGAAGGAAAGCAGCUUUACAACCUUGUUCCCGAAAUACCAAAAGGCUUACCUGAAAGAGUACUGACCACGGGUGCAGAAAGUCAUGGAUGAACAUCAUGUUAAAGCAACACUGGACUUCAUAAAGGGUAGCAUGACUGUUUGUACAACAAAUAAGACAUUUGACCCUCAGAUCAUCAUCAGGGCCUGAGACCUAAUAAAGCAUUUCCUUUGAAUAGGCAGUAUGGAUACUUCAGGACGAUGUUGCCUGUGACAUCAUUAAAAUUGGCUCACUAGUGAGAAAGAGAGAUUUGUGAAGAGAAGACAGCAGCUUAUUGGUCCCAAAGGAUCUAUCUUGAAGGCACUGGAACUCCUGAUAAACUGUUACGUUAUAGUUUAGGGGAACAUGGUCUCAGCAAUCGGACCUUUCAGUGACCUCAAAGAGGUUCAAAAAGUAGUCCUUGAUACCAUGAAGAUUAUCCAUCCAAUUUAUAACAUUAAAACCUUGAUGAUUAAAUGGAAGUUGGCAAAAGAUUGUGAGUUAUGAUUACAAAGUUGGGAAAGGUUUUUGCCACAGUUCAAGCACAAAAAAUGUGAAUAAACACAAGGAACCAAAGAAGAAGAGUGUCAAGAAGAAGUACACGCCCUUCCCUCCCCUAUAGCCAGAAAGUCAGAUUGAUAAAGAAUUGGCCAGGGGUGGUUCCUCAAA
Molecule: long non-coding RNA, 820 nt
Filed under: Mus musculus (house mouse)
Lineage: Eukaryota; Metazoa; Chordata; Mammalia; Rodentia; Muridae
Description: long non-coding RNA chr4:25538849-25539669
Source: RNAcentral